GGGAAGGUGGCUCAGUGGUACAGUGCUUGCCUUGCAUGCAUGAGGCCCUAGGUUCAAUUCCCCAGCCCCA
Molecule: transfer RNA, 70 nt
Filed under: Dipodomys ordii (Ord's kangaroo rat)
Lineage: Eukaryota; Metazoa; Chordata; Mammalia; Rodentia; Heteromyidae
Rfam family: tRNA
About the family: Transfer RNA (tRNA) molecules are approximately 80 nucleotides in length. Their secondary structure includes four short double-helical elements and three loops (D, anti-codon, and T loops).
Source: Rfam by way of RNAcentral